UCACAAUUAUGUGUUCAGAUGUUUUUUCCAUUGUGUUGAUGACAACUAUACAAUUAAAGAUAAGCCCUAAUACAGCUUAUAUUUCUCUUUCUUAAACUAAAAAUAAAAUACUCCAGAAUAAAAGGAAGAUCUUGAUUUAAUAAAGAAGAAGCAGAAGCACAUCUUCAACGCACGCCUGUAGGGAAGAACUUGGUCCAGGAUGAGGCUGAGAUGAGUGAAUCAUUUGCCUAAGGAAGAAGAGUUACAGGGACACCAAAAAAGCUCAGUAAGUAAGGAUCAUUUCCCAAAUAAAUUCCUCAGACUGGAAUAUCUACCUCAAGAUAUAGUUCUGAGAAAUCUACACUAAGCCAUAAAUCUAAUUGGUACUUAUAAUAACACAGAUAUAUUUUCUAAGUGUGGAAAUAUGGGAAGAAUACAUCAUUAUAAGGUUUGUCUACGAUUUCUAUAAAAUGUUCUGAAUUUU
RNAcentral lists this long non-coding RNA (463 nucleotides) under Equus caballus (horse). RNAcentral describes it as "lncRNA (ENSECAG00000055154.1)". Lineage: Eukaryota; Metazoa; Chordata; Mammalia; Perissodactyla; Equidae. The record is from RNAcentral.